Molecule: long non-coding RNA, 1644 nt
Filed under: Mus musculus (house mouse)
Lineage: Eukaryota; Metazoa; Chordata; Mammalia; Rodentia; Muridae
Description: long non-coding RNA chr11:80032478-80034122
Source: RNAcentral
GUUAAUCUAGAAAUUUCACACCUAAAUUUUAAUGCUUAUUUCAUUUGUGACUUUUUCUGCUUUGUAAUUAUGAGACAUUUUCUGGGAAAGGGAUGUUGGGAUGUUAUGCUGUCUUAGAGAUGGAGAAUUUUUGUGAAAUUGUUACUUACAUUGCCACUUUCCCCCAAACGUUGACCCUUGAUUCAGAAAUCAUGCAUCUGGGAUGAGAAGUUACAAAGCAAGUUCUGCAUCAGUUGUGUUACAAGUUCAAAACAGCACCAGUUGGUCUCCUGUCGGAGGCAGUGUGACUGCCUUCCAUGCAGCCAUGCAGUGCCGUCCCGUGCGCACUGAGGGAGCUCGCUGUUCCUUUUCAAGUGAAUGGUUUUAGUGCUUGUUUUCCCAGUUUAGGUUUUUACUUGAACAUGUUUUUAGUUUUUCCUUUUAAUUAGGUAACCCCAUGGGAAAUUGUUCUGUGCACGUCUUUUGCACUAGGAUGGUAAAGCAAGAGAAACAGUUGGAGAUUCAGAAGAUGCCACUGUGGGGAGGGUGUCUCUGAGUGUAAACCAGAAGAUGUCACACCUUGUUUCCUUUGUGACAUCCUUCUUGAUUAGAAUAUCCAUACAGAUAAGCUGACUUGAAUUGUUGUGAGCAAUUUUCCCUGUGUUCUGUGUUUUAUGCACAUAUUCGUGGUUGGGUUUUCUCCAACAGAAAGUGGUUUCACUACUGGCACGGAUAGCUUUUUAUUCCAGCUCCAAGCACUGUGGUUGAAUAACAUCACCUCAAUUUUUUAUUAUCCUUUAAAGAUAUUGCAUUUUCAUAUUCUUUAUUUAUAAAGGAUCAAUGCUGCUGUAAAUACUGGUAUUUUUAAUGUUUUAAUUUCAUUCCACCACCAUCAGAUGCAGUUCCCUGUUUUGUUUGGUUAAGGGACAUAAGCUUUCUCAUGGUGUCUUCAGAGAUUUAUAAGUGUAAAUACUGAUUUGGCUGGUCUUUAUGAUGUGUUUAACUGUGAGGCUAUUUAAAUAGUGUGGAUGUGACUUGUCAUCCAGUAUUAAGUUCUUAGUUACUGGUUUUUGUGUUAAAAAAAAAUAAGAAAGAGGGAAGCUGCAGUUUUCGUUGUAGGCUCCCUAGCUGGUAAACUCUCCUCACGAGUUCACUGAACUCUGAUUUUUGCCUCUGGGUAGUGGGUUCUGAGCAUUUCUCCUGGGCUUUAAUUUGCUAAAGCUGUGCACAUAUGUAAAAAUCAAAAAAAUAGAUUAUUUUAGGGAAGAUGUAGGUGUAGAAUUAUUGCUUAUGUCAUUUCUUAAAGCAGUUAUGCUCUUAAUGCUUAAAAGAAGGCUAGCAUUGUUUGCACAAAAAAUUGGUGAUUUCCCUCCCCUGAACAGUAAUGAAAUUACUUCUGUUGAGUAAACUUUUUAUGUCAUCUUAUAAUAAAAGCUAAAAAUGCCCUUUGGUUCUAUUUAUAAAAAAAAAAAAGCUUUUCUAUAUGUACCCUUGAAAACAGAUUUUGAAGAAAUCAUGUAAGAUGAUAAAGCAUUUGAAUGGUACAAUAGAUGUAAAAAAAUUCAGUUUAAAAGAAACGUUUGUUUUUACAUUAAAUGUUUAUUUGAAAUCAAAUGAUUUUGUACAUAAAGUUCAAUAAUAUAAAGCUGUCUUCUGCUUUUCUUC